GGGAUGAUAGCUUAAAUGGUAAAGCUUUCCGCUCAUAACGGACAAGAUGUGGGUUCAAAUCCUGCUUAUCCUA
This 73-nucleotide transfer RNA is filed under the name Neoconidiobolus thromboides. RNAcentral describes it as "Conidiobolus thromboides tRNA-Met". It matches the Rfam family "tRNA". Rfam says of the family: Transfer RNA (tRNA) molecules are approximately 80 nucleotides in length. Their secondary structure includes four short double-helical elements and three loops (D, anti-codon, and T loops). Further hydrogen bonds mediate the characteristic L-shaped molecular structure. tRNAs have two regions of fundamental functional importance: the anti-codon, which is responsible for specific mRNA codon recognition, and the 3' end, to which the tRNAs corresponding amino acid is attached (by aminoacyl-tRNA synthetases). tRNAs cope with the degeneracy of the genetic code in two manners: having more than one tRNA (with a specific anti-codon) for a particular amino acid; and 'wobble' base-pairing, i.e. permitting non-standard base-pairing at the 3rd anti-codon position. The record is from RNAcentral. Lineage: Eukaryota; Fungi; Entomophthoromycota; Entomophthoromycetes; Entomophthorales; Neoconidiobolaceae.